ACAUCCAGCGAACUUGGCAGAGAUGCCUUGGUGCCUUCGGGAACGCUGAGACAGGUGCUGCAUGGCUGUCGUCAGCUCGUGUUGUGAAAUGUUGGGGUUAAGUCCCCGNAACGAGCGCAACCCUUAUCCUUUGUUGCCAGCGAUUCGGUCGGGAACUCAAAGGAGACUGCCGGUGAUAAACCGGAGGAAGGUGGGGAUGACGUCAAGUCAUCAUGGCCCUUACGAGUAGGGCUACACACGUGCUACAAUGGCGCAUACAAAGAGAAGCGACCUCGCGAGAGCAAGCGGACCUCAUAAAGUGCGUCGUAGUCCGGAUCGGAGUCUGCAACUCGACUCCGUGAAGUCGGAAUCGCUAGUAAUCGUGGAUCAGAAUGCCACGGUGAAUACGUUCCCGGGCCUUGUACACACCGCCCGUCACACCAUGGGAGUGGGUUGCAAAAGAAGUAGGUAGCUUAACCCUCGGGAGGGCGCUUACCACUUUGUGAUUCAUGACUGGGGUGAAGUCGUAACAAGGUAAGCGUAGCGAG
This 527-nucleotide ribosomal RNA is filed under the name uncultured bacterium. RNAcentral's name for it is "bacterial SSU rRNA". It matches the Rfam family "Bacterial small subunit ribosomal RNA", at positions 984 to 1509 of the family's 1533-position model. The record is from RNAcentral.